UACGUAGGGGGCUAGCGUUGUCCGGAUUUAUUGGGCGUAAAGAGCGUGUAGGCGGCCAGGUAGGUCCGCUGUGAAAACUCGAGGCUCAACCUCGAGACGCCGGUGGAAACCAUCAGACUAGAGUCCGGAAGAGGAGAGUGGAAUUCCUGGUGUAGCGGUGAAAUGCGCAGAUAUCAGGAAGAACACCCGUGGCUAAGGCGGCUCUCUAGUACGGUACUGACGCUGAGACGCGAAAAGCGUGGGGGAGCGAACAGG
RNAcentral lists this ribosomal RNA (255 nucleotides) under uncultured bacterium. RNAcentral's name for it is "partial 16S ribosomal RNA". It matches the Rfam family "Bacterial small subunit ribosomal RNA", at positions 524 to 776 of the family's 1533-position model. The record is from RNAcentral.